AACUAUCAAGCUACAAAUGUUUUUGUUAGCAUUUGUUGGUUUGGAUGUUGGAUGCUUUGCUGGACAAUAUUGAACAGCUCAUCCGAAAUUUAUUAGCUGGUCUAAAUACCUUGGACUAUCCACUUGGCGUGAUAAGUAUCACCCGCUGAGGACUUGUUCAAUGGGGGUUGACUGCUUCUAAUUUAUUAUUUUGAAUC
This 197-nucleotide unclassified non-coding RNA is filed under the name uncultured Agaricomycetes. RNAcentral describes it as "sequence contains ITS2". The record is from RNAcentral. Lineage: Eukaryota; Fungi; Basidiomycota; Agaricomycetes.